CUACAUUGCUAACCUAAUGGCUCCCCCAAACUCUUAGCGUCGCACAUUUCUAAUCCUUACAUUCCUUUUCUCAUCCUACCCCUAAACCAAGUUAUUUAUCUGAUCGUUGGAACUAGUAUUGUCGCAUCUACAUCCUCCACACUCUAUGCCUCAACGACUUUGUCUUGGACAUACACAAAUCUAUCUUGGCACUUGGUCAGAUAAGUUUGAAUGAUUAGAAGAUCAAAUUACAGAUGAUUCAUCUACUCAACUUAACUUCAGCCUAGAAUGAAGGGACGCAAGACUGGUGAAUCUAUCACUGGUUCAUACUAUGUGCAAGAGGAUCUCCGGGAAACUUACAGAGAAUGGAGCGCCUAUGGUGUAGAUGUGGUAGUUAGCCCAAAUGGAGAGGGGGACAUAAAAAUGUACUACGUCCCUUUUCUCUCUGCAAUUCAGCUAUAUGUUGUGAGGGCCUGCUACAAAUGCACAAGUGCUGGGUGUUGCGAAGGAAGCACGUGGAACGGGAUUCAUGCAACAACAAAAAAUGUGAUUACUACUUAUGAGGGAAGAUACAAUCAUGAACAAACCACCCUCAUGGACAACUAACAGGAAUAAGCUUGUACUAGAUGAAGAAGAAGAAGAAGAAGAUGAACAUGAUGGUGGUGAAGAACUUGCAGCUGCCAAUGCUCUAAUGACUUUAAUAUUACCUGGGACUGGGAAUUUUCUCAAUACCCCAAACCCUGUUGAACCUCAAGUUCACACUCUUCAACUUCGCAAUGACACAAAUCCUGAAUUUGCCACCAAUAGGUCUCUGUUCUGAGGCCCAACCAUUUUGGAACUUUCAACAAUAACACGAACAUGAAUAUUGGGUCUUCCUCCAACAACCCCCAAAUUCAUUGCUCUUCCUUGAAUAAUGCUACUGGCAUGCCUUUCCGCUCCUAUGCACUCAACAUAUCCUUAUGCUACCCCUCAACCUGGUGGUCCUUCAGUGUUUCCACAGUUUCCGAAUUCACCACCAUUCAACAAUAUUCCUUCUUCUAGAUGGUUUUCUCAGACUUGGCGUAAUAAUAAUAAUGGGUCUAGUUCCGUGUUUCCUUCCAAGGAAACAGGUGCAAGGGACAGGCACUAGGUUCAUGAGGCAUAAUAAGGAGCAAGAUGAUAAUAAGGUGUGUAGGGAACAUGCAAAUGCGCUUCUUACGCCUUCAGCGUCUUCGUGAUCCUCUUAUCCACUUCUUUUGCAAAAGCUACUAUUGGUGAUAGUUAUCUUGUCUUUACAUGAUAAUAGUCAGCAACUGAAUAAUUUCUGUUCGGUUUUUAUUUUUGUGAACAAUUUCUGUGAGUUUUCAUUUGGUGAUGAGGAUAUUUAACUUGAACUUAA
This is a long non-coding RNA of Glycine soja, 1357 nucleotides long. RefSeq lists it as uncharacterized. The transcript has 4 exons. Lineage: Eukaryota; Viridiplantae; Streptophyta; Magnoliopsida; Fabales; Fabaceae. The record is from RefSeq and is a predicted model, not a curated record.